AAACUAACAGGGUAAACACCAUGAUCAUGAAGGUGGUUUUCCCAGGGCGAGGCACAUCCAUUGCACUUUGGGGUGUGCUGACCCCUGAUGUCAUCGAGGAAUACUUCAAAUUAAAGAAAUGAACAAAUAAAAAGUUUGCCUCAUUU
Molecule: small nuclear RNA, 146 nt
Filed under: Nannospalax galili (Upper Galilee mountains blind mole rat)
Lineage: Eukaryota; Metazoa; Chordata; Mammalia; Rodentia; Spalacidae
Description: U1 spliceosomal RNA (ENSNGAG00000003021.1)
Rfam family: U1 spliceosomal RNA (bases 11-109)
About the family: U1 is a small nuclear RNA (snRNA) component of the spliceosome (involved in pre-mRNA splicing). Its 5' end forms complementary base pairs with the 5' splice junction, thus defining the 5' donor site of an intron.
Source: RNAcentral